UACAGAGGUCCCAAGCGUUGUUCGGAUUCACUGGGCGUAAAGGGUGCGUAGGUGGUUGGGUAAGUCUGAUGUGAAAUCUCCGGGCUCAACCCGGAAAUGGCAUUGGAUACUAUUCGGCUAGAGGUUUGGAGGGGGGACUGGAAUUCUCGGUGUAGCAGUGAAAUGCGUAGAUAUCGAGAGGAACACCAGUGGCGAAGGCGAGUCCCUGGACAACACCUGACACUGAGGCACGAAAGCUAGGGGAGCAAACGGG
RNAcentral lists this ribosomal RNA (253 nucleotides) under uncultured bacterium. RNAcentral's name for it is "partial 16S ribosomal RNA". It matches the Rfam family "Bacterial small subunit ribosomal RNA", at positions 524 to 776 of the family's 1533-position model. The record is from RNAcentral.